UACGUAGGGGGCAAGCGUUGUCCGGAAUCAUUGGGCGUAAAGCGCGCGUAGGCGGCCCGCUAAGUCCGAUGUAAAAGUCAACGGCUCAACUGUUGAAAGCCGGUGGAUACUGUCGGGCUAGAGUACGGAAGAGGCAAGUGGAAUUCCUGGUGUAGCGGUGGAAUGCGCAGAUAUCAGGAGGAACACCUAUAGCGAAGGCAGCUUGCUGGGACGUUACUGACGCUAAGGCGCGAAAGCGUGGGGAGCGAACAGG
This 253-nucleotide ribosomal RNA is filed under the name uncultured bacterium. Its description in RNAcentral is "partial 16S ribosomal RNA". It matches the Rfam family "Bacterial small subunit ribosomal RNA", at positions 524 to 776 of the family's 1533-position model. The record is from RNAcentral.